UAGGGAAUCUUCGGCAAUGGACGAAAGUCUGACCGAGCAACGCCGCGUGAGUGAAGAAGGUUUUCGGAUCGUAAAACUCUGUUGGUAGAGAAGAACGUUGGUGAGAGUGGAAAGCUCAUCAAGUGACGGUAACUACCCAGAAAGGGACGGCUAACUACGUGCCG
RNAcentral lists this ribosomal RNA (164 nucleotides) under uncultured bacterium. RNAcentral describes it as "partial 16S ribosomal RNA". It matches the Rfam family "Bacterial small subunit ribosomal RNA", at positions 355 to 510 of the family's 1533-position model. The record is from RNAcentral.